Molecule: long non-coding RNA, 210 nt
Filed under: Mytilus galloprovincialis (Mediterranean mussel)
Lineage: Eukaryota; Metazoa; Mollusca; Bivalvia; Mytilida; Mytilidae
Source: RNAcentral
AAAUUCAAAGUUUAUUCAAUCAUAGUCAAAGUUUAUAAUACAAGAAACAUUUUCUGAGAAGAUUGUUAUAUAUUAACUGCUUGUUAUCCAUUAACAUAUAUUAGCUGUGCUUGUUGAAAAAAAAAGUUAAUAAAACUGAGAUUUCUUUAUUCUGUUGUUUAACUUUAUUAAUUCCUCAUGCCAGAUUAUUCUCAUGUUUUUAUGCUUCAC